UACGUAGGGUGCAGGCGUUAAUCGGAAUUACUGGGCGUAAAGCGUGCGCAGGCGGUUUGCUAAGACAGGUGUGAAAUCCCCGGGCUUAACCUGGGAACUGCGCUUGUAACUGGCAAGCUUGAGUGUGGCAGAGGGGGGUGGAAUUCCACGUGUAGCAGUGAAAUGCGUAGAUAUCGUAAGGAAGACCAGUGGCGAAGGCGAGUUUCUGGACAGUUACUGACGCUGAGGCACGAAGGCCAGGGGAGCAAACGGG
This 253-nucleotide ribosomal RNA is filed under the name uncultured bacterium. RNAcentral's name for it is "partial 16S ribosomal RNA". It matches the Rfam family "Bacterial small subunit ribosomal RNA", at positions 524 to 776 of the family's 1533-position model. The record is from RNAcentral.